This 303-nucleotide ribosomal RNA is filed under the name uncultured bacterium. Its description in RNAcentral is "partial 16S ribosomal RNA". It matches the Rfam family "Bacterial small subunit ribosomal RNA", at positions 507 to 807 of the family's 1533-position model. The record is from RNAcentral.
AGCAGUCGCCACGGGAAAACGGAGGGAGCUAGCGUUAUUCGGAAUUACUGGGCGUAAAGCGCACGUAGGCGGCUUUGUAAGUUAGAGGUGAAAGCCUGGAGCUCAACUCCAGAAUUGCCUUUAAGACUGCAUCGCUUGAAUCCAGGAGAGGUGAGUGGAAUUCCGAGUGUAGAGGUGAAAUUCGUAGAUAUUCGGAAGAACACCAGUGGCGAAGGCGGCUCACUGGACUGGUAUUGACGCUGAGGUGCGAAAGCGUGGGGAGCAAACAGGAUUAGAUACCCCGGUAGUCCCUGUCUCUUAUAC